GAUGAACGCUGGCGGCGUGCCUAAUACAUGCAAGUCGAGCGAACGGACGAGAAGCUUGCUUUUCUGAUGUUAGCGGCGGACGGGUGAGUAACACGUGGAUAACCUACCUAUAAGACUGGGAUAACUUCGGGAAACCGGAGCUAAUACCGGAUAAUAUUUUGAACCGCAUGGUUCAAAAGUGAAAGACGGUCCUGCUGUCACUUAUAGAUGGAUCCGCGCUGCAUUAGCUAGUUGGUAAGGUAACGGCUUACCAGGGCAACGAUGCAUAGCCGACCUGAGAGGGUGAUCGGCCACACUGGAACUGAGACACGGUCCAGACUCCUACGGGAGGCAGCAGUAGGGAAUCUUCCGCAAAGGGCGAAAGCCUGACGGAGCAACGCCGCGUGAGUGAUGAAGGUCUUCGGAUCGUAAAACUCUGUUAUUAGGGAAGAACAUAUGUGUAAGUAACUGUGCACAUCUUGACGGUACCUAAUCAGAAAGCCACGGCUAACUACGUG
Molecule: ribosomal RNA, 497 nt
Filed under: uncultured bacterium
Lineage: Bacteria
Description: partial 16S ribosomal RNA
Rfam family: Bacterial small subunit ribosomal RNA
Source: RNAcentral